GACGAACGCUGGCGGCGUGCUUAACACAUGCAAGUCGAACGGAAAGGCCCUGCUUUUGUGGGGUGCUCGAGUGGCGAACGGGUGAGUAACACGUGAGUAACCUGCCCUUGACUUUGGGAUAACUUCAGGAAACUGGGGCUAAUACCGGAUAGGAGCUCCUGCUGCAUGGUGGGGGUUGGAACGUUUCGGCGGUUGGGGAUGGACUCGCGGCUUAUCAGCUUGUUGGUGGGGUAGUGGCUUACCAAGGCUUUGACGGGUAGCCGGCCUGAGAGGGUGACCGGCCACAUUGGGACUGAGAUACGGCCCAGACUCCUACGGGAGGCAGCAGUGGGGAAUAUGGCACAAUGGGCGGAAGCCUGAUGCAGCAACGCCGCGUGCGGGAUGACGGCCUUCGGGUUGUAAACCGCUUUCGCCUGUGACGAAGCGUGAGUGACGGUAAUGGGUAAAGAAGCACCGGCUAACUACGUG
This 468-nucleotide ribosomal RNA is filed under the name uncultured bacterium. RNAcentral describes it as "partial 16S ribosomal RNA". It matches the Rfam family "Bacterial small subunit ribosomal RNA", at positions 28 to 507 of the family's 1533-position model. The record is from RNAcentral.